AUUGAACGCUGGCGGCAGGCCUAACACAUGCAAGUCGAGCGGAGCGGCAGACGGGGGAGGAAUGCCUAGGAGUCUGCCUGGUAGUGGUGGGUAACGUACGGAAACUGGCGAUAAUACCUCAUACUGUCAGAUUAGGCUAGGGCGGAUUGGCGAGUUGGUGGGGUAACGGCCUACCAAGGCGACGAUCCGUAACUGGCCUGAGAGGAUGAUCAGUCACACUGGAACUGAGACACGGUCCAGACUCCUACGGGAGGCAGCAGUGGGGAAUAUUGGGCAAUGGGCGAAAGCCUGAUCCAGCCAUGCCGCGUGUGUGAAGAAGGUCUUCGGAUUGUAAAGCUCUGUAAGUUGGGAGGCGUUAUCAACAGAAUAAGCACCGGCUAACUUCGUGCCAGCAGCCGCGGUAAUUC
This 407-nucleotide ribosomal RNA is filed under the name uncultured bacterium. Its description in RNAcentral is "partial 16S ribosomal RNA". It matches the Rfam family "Bacterial small subunit ribosomal RNA", at positions 30 to 526 of the family's 1533-position model. The record is from RNAcentral.